This is a long non-coding RNA of Gymnodraco acuticeps, 486 nucleotides long. RefSeq lists it as uncharacterized. NCBI's taxonomy places the organism in Eukaryota, Metazoa, Chordata, Actinopteri, Perciformes, Bathydraconidae. The record is from RefSeq and is a predicted model, not a curated record. The transcript is spliced from 2 exons.
UUUCAGGUGACACAAUGAAGCCUUCUGGGUGGAUGCUAUCCAUCGAGGGACAAGUGGUAAUGGGCCCACACCCAUUUUUUUUGCAUGGGCUAGCUGCUUUAUUCAGCAGCUACUAUGUCUUCAACCUCAAAUAUCCCGUUGGAUCAUGCACACUGGAGUUCAUCCAAAGAUGCUUCUUGGGCAUCAACCCGGAGAAAGGCUCCAAGGCAAAGAAGCGAAGCUCCAUUAACCCUCACGUGAGCACCCUUCACCGGAAGCUGAUAGACUUGGAAUGGUCUGCAUAGACUGCAUGGUGUGCGGGGACAAGUUUAGUGGGAAGCAUUACGGUCAGUUCACCUGCGAGGGAUUAUUUGUUUAAAGGAUCCGUUAAGGGUUCAUCUGUUUUUUAUGGAUAGUUGAGGUGAACUAGUUCAUGUUCCUGUUUGUUUACUCUGUUGUUUAUUUUGUCAAUAAAUAUGCCAGUGGGCUUCCAUUGAUUUUACCUCA